UGGUGCUAGUUGGGGAGCUAGCGGUGCCCUGUACUCGCAAUCCGCUGCAGCGAGGAUGAAUUCCUUUCUGAGGUUAAGAUGUUUUAAGGUUAGCGUUUAAGAGGCAGUUAUGAAGAUUUCGGUCCUGUACAAUGAAACUUCAUGAAUCCUGUCAGGUUCGGAAGAAAGCAGCAGUAAGUGAAAUGUUUUCAUGUGCUGCAGGGAAGCCGAGAUUGAGCUGAUUUCUGAAACAGCACUUAAAAUAAUUUUAAUCGAAGUAAGGUGCGCCG
Molecule: signal recognition particle RNA, 269 nt
Filed under: Bacillus taeanensis
Lineage: Bacteria; Bacillati; Bacillota; Bacilli; Caryophanales; Bacillaceae
Description: Bacterial large signal recognition particle RNA
Rfam family: Bacterial large signal recognition particle RNA
About the family: The signal recognition particle (SRP) is a universally conserved ribonucleoprotein involved in the co-translational targeting of proteins to membranes. Archaeal SRP consists of a 7S RNA and homologues of the eukaryotic SRP19 and SRP54 proteins. In most bacteria, the SRP consists of a 4.5S RNA and the Ffh protein (a homologue of the eukaryotic SRP54 protein).
Source: Rfam by way of RNAcentral